CCUACGGGAGGCAGCAGUGGGGAAUAUUGCACAAUGGGGGAAACCCUGAUGCAGCGACGUCGCGUGAAGGAAGAAGUAUUUCGGUAUGUAAACUUCUAUCAGCAGGGAAGAAAGUGACGGUACCUGACUAAGAAGCCCCGGCUAACUACGUGCCAGCAGCCGCGGUAAUACGUAGGGGGCAAGCGUUAUCCGGAUUUACUGGGUGUAAAGGGAGCGUAGGCGGCGAUGAAAGUCAGAAGUGAAAGCCCGGGGCUCAACUCCGGGACUGCUUUGGAAACUGUAUGGCUAGAUUGCAGGAGAGGCAAGUGGAAUUCCUAGUGUAGCGGUGAAAUGCGUAGAUAUUAGGAGGAACAGCAGUGGCGAAGGCGGCUUGCUGGACUGAAAGUGACGCUGAGGCUCGAAAGCGUGGGGAGCAAACAGGAUUAGAUACCUGUAGUC
Molecule: ribosomal RNA, 438 nt
Filed under: uncultured bacterium
Lineage: Bacteria
Description: partial 16S ribosomal RNA
Rfam family: Bacterial small subunit ribosomal RNA
Source: RNAcentral